This 497-nucleotide ribosomal RNA is filed under the name uncultured bacterium. RNAcentral's name for it is "partial 16S ribosomal RNA". It matches the Rfam family "Bacterial small subunit ribosomal RNA", at positions 28 to 507 of the family's 1533-position model. The record is from RNAcentral.
GACGAACGCUGGCGGCGUGCCUAACACAUGCAAGUCGAACGAACAGACGAGGAGCUUGCUCCUCUGACGUUAGCGGCGGACGGGAGAGUCACACGUGUAUAACCUACCUAUAAGACUGGGAUAACUUCGGGACACCGUAUCUUAUACCGGAUAAUAUAUUGAACCGCAUGGUUCAAUAGUGAAAUACGGUUUUUCUGUCACUUAUAGAUGGAUCCGCGCCGCAUUAGCUAGUUGUUAAGGUAACGGCUUAACAAGGCGACGAUGCGUAGCCGACCUAAGAGGGAGGUCGGCGACACUGGAACUGAGACACGUUCCAGACUCCUGAGGUAGGCAGCAGUAGGGAAUCUUACGCAAUGGAGGAGAGCCUGACGGAGCAACGCCGCGUGAGGGAUGAAGGUGUUCGGCUCGGAAAACUCUGUUAGUAGUGGAGAACAAAUGUGCAAGUAACCAUGCAGGUCUUGACGGUACCUAAUCAAAAAGCCACGGCUAACUCCGUG